UGGCUCAGAACGAACGCUGGCGGCGUGCUUAACACAUGCAAGUCGAGCGGAAAGGCCCCUUCGGGGGUACACGAGCGGCGAACGGGUGAGUAACACGUGAGCAACCUACCCUCAACUUUGGGAUAAGCCUCGGAAACGGGGUCUAAUACCGAAUAUCAUCUCCUGCUUCAUGGUGGGGGGUUGAAAGUUCUGGCGGUUGGGGAUGGGCUCGCGGCCUAUCAGCUUGUUGGUGGGGUAAUGGCCUACCAAGGGGAAGACGGGUAGCCGGCCUGAGAGGGCGACCGGCCACACUUCUCCUGAGACACGGGAAGAACUCCUAC
RNAcentral lists this ribosomal RNA (320 nucleotides) under uncultured Kribbella sp. Its description in RNAcentral is "bacterial SSU rRNA". It matches the Rfam family "Bacterial small subunit ribosomal RNA", at positions 20 to 342 of the family's 1533-position model. The record is from RNAcentral. Lineage: Bacteria; Bacillati; Actinomycetota; Actinomycetes; Propionibacteriales; Kribbellaceae.